Molecule: ribosomal RNA, 216 nt
Filed under: Triticum aestivum (bread wheat)
Lineage: Eukaryota; Viridiplantae; Streptophyta; Magnoliopsida; Poales; Poaceae
Description: partial small subunit ribosomal RNA
Source: RNAcentral
AUGUCCAGCCCGAUCCCCGACCCGUCCGCCGCCGGCAGCUUCAUCUGCGCCGCGAACGCCUUCUUCAGCGCGCGGUACCCCUGCAGCUCCAGGUACGUGAUCGACGUGCCGGAGUCCACGAUCACUCCGCCUGUGCCGUCGUCCUGCACGGCGAACGCCGAGCUCGGCAGGGUGAUGUGCGUCGAACCGACCGUCAGGCCCUUGAGGUUCACGUAG